UUUCUCCCCGUUAAAAAAUCCAGAUUCCACAUAAAACUAAAGCUAGAAGAAGCCAAUUUAUCAGCACCAACGAAUUCAACCAUCUUCAUUCACCAGUGAAUCUAACCAUCUUCGUUCGCCGGUGAAUCUAACCAUCAUUCACCAGCGAUUCAUACUAUCUUCGUUGACUGGCGAUUACGCCAACUUCGUUCAUCAGUUUCAGUUUUCAGUUCAAUAUUCGGAGCUCCCGACAACACUUUACAUUUUCGUCACCACCGUUUGCUGGAAAAGAGAUCUUGACAUCUUGUACAAGCUAUGUUCAGUUCUCCUCUCAAACCGGUCUUAAUUGCUCAAUGAAACCUGAAAGUUUCUCUGACGAAGCCGGCGAUCUAGAAGAGGAUUGAAGACUAUCUGAUGAAUAUGUUAGGAUUUAUGUGCAGUAUGGUUUUGGUUUGGUAGAUGUUUGAAUGUUGGAUAUAUCCAGUUUGGUAUGAUUUUUGUGCAGGUAUUUGAUU
RNAcentral lists this long non-coding RNA (494 nucleotides) under Helianthus annuus (common sunflower). RNAcentral's name for it is "hypothetical non coding rna". The record is from RNAcentral. Lineage: Eukaryota; Viridiplantae; Streptophyta; Magnoliopsida; Asterales; Asteraceae.